UACGGGGGGGGCAAGCGUUGUUCGGAAUUAUUGGGCGUAAAGAGCUCGUAGGCGGUUUGUUGCGUCGGCUGUGAAAUCCCGAGGCUCAACCUCGGGUCUGCAGUCGAUACGAGCAAACUAGAGUGUUGCAGGGGAGACUGGAAUUCCUGGUGUAGCGGUGAAAUGCGCAGAUAUCAGGAAGAACACCCGUGGCGAAGGCGGCUCUCUGGGACGGUACUGACGCUGAGACGCGAAAGCGUGGGGAGCGAACAGG
RNAcentral lists this ribosomal RNA (253 nucleotides) under uncultured bacterium. RNAcentral's name for it is "partial 16S ribosomal RNA". It matches the Rfam family "Bacterial small subunit ribosomal RNA", at positions 524 to 776 of the family's 1533-position model. The record is from RNAcentral.